RNAcentral lists this ribosomal RNA (480 nucleotides) under uncultured bacterium. RNAcentral describes it as "bacterial SSU rRNA". It matches the Rfam family "Bacterial small subunit ribosomal RNA", at positions 28 to 504 of the family's 1533-position model. The record is from RNAcentral.
GAUGAACGCUAGCGGCAGGCUUAAUACAUGCAAGUCGAGGGGCAGCACGGGUAGCAAUAUCUGGUGGCGACCGGCGCACGGGUGCGUAACACGUAUACAAUCUACCCUUAACAGGGGGAUAGCCCUCCGAAAGGAGGAUUAAUACCCCAUAAUAAAUUGAAUGGCAUCAUUUGAUUUUGAAAGUUCCGACGGUUAAGGAUGAGUAUGCGUCUGAUUAGCUAGUUGGUGAGGUAAAGGCUCACCAAGGCAACGAUCAGUAGGGGAUCUGAGAGGACUACCCCCCACACUGGUACUGAGACACGGACCAGACUCCUACGGGAGGCAGCAGUAAGGAAUAUUGGUCAAUGGAGGCAACUCUGAACCAGCCAUGCCGCGUGCAGGAAGACGGCCCUAUGGGUUGUAAACUGCUUUUGUACGGGAGAAAACCCUUUCACGUGUGAGAGGUUGAUAGUACCGUAAGAAUAAGCAUCGGCUAACUUC